Sceloporus undulatus (fence lizard) is the source of this 501-nucleotide long non-coding RNA. RefSeq lists it as uncharacterized. Lineage: Eukaryota; Metazoa; Chordata; Lepidosauria; Squamata; Phrynosomatidae. The record is from RefSeq and is a predicted model, not a curated record. The transcript has 3 exons.
UGUUGACCACCACCUCCUUGUCUUUUUCAGCUGGCAGCUUCAAGAAGAAGAUUUAUAGUGGAGAACUGCAGCUGUGGGAUCGGAAAGGGCUCCCAGCCAGCUCAGAAGGACUGCUUCAGGAGAUCCUUUUGGCCGGAGACGAAGGGCUGCAUCCAGGUGAACACACACGACUGGAGCUCAGCAGCACUUCACAGAUGCUCCUGGAAACAGAGUCAGAGCUCCUCCAGAGGAUACAGACACUGGCCCAGCUGCUUCUCAGCCUCCAGGUAAGUAGCCCCACUUAUUUUCACACACAAACACACACCACCACACACACAUUACUUAGCUUUCAUUGUUUAUAUUUUGGAGGCCUGGAUUUAGAUAGCCUGGGCCAAUUUUUGCCAGUUGACUGGCUGCUGCCGAGGUCUUGGUGCCUUCUUUCAUUGUUUCUUUAUGACACUAAUCCAGUGAAAAGCAAUAAUCUGUUUGUCCGUUAGCAUUAUUCCACUUUGUAUGCUUUUC